UUAUAUAUAUUUAUAAAAUAAUAUAGUAUUUAUAUAUUUACUAAUUUAUAUAUUUUUCUCACCAAAACUGUGUAUUUUACCCAGUGAUCUUCUUUAGUUGUAUAAAUAUUUUACUUAUUUUGAUAUCUGAAUUAUUUUUUGAAAAAUAUUUUUUUGGGUGAAAAUUGGAAAGUAAAAUAGUAAGUCAACAAAUAUUAAAAAAAAAACAGCUAACGGAUUGGUCGAAAGUGUGUAAUAUGUGCAAUUAACCAGACAACUUUCCGAGUCAUUGGUUAUUGGGUCGACCACAUAUGCAGAAAACCGUAGAUUAAUAAAGUAAUUAAUUCUAAUAUAACUAUAUAUAUUAACUAUUAAAAUUUUAGAAGAAUUUUAUGUUUCUUAAAAUAAAACUAGAAAGUAGUAAUUCUUUACAAAGAGUUUAACCAUCGCCUAGCGAUUUUUAAACAUUGUUCAAGACAAACAAAGAAUAAAAAAUUCAGUUUAGAAAAUAGAAGUUAGAACCUAAAAGGUUAGAACAAAUGCUAUUUGUGAUGAAUAGAAUAAAAAAAAAAAAAAUAAUGGAGAUAUAGAAUAUAUGUGGAAACAAAAAACAAUAAGUUCACAAAAAAAUAAAAAAUUAAAAGUGGAAACCAAAAAUUUUAUUCUAAUAAAAACAUUUUUAAUGAAGUAAUUAAAAGCUUAAGAAAAAAAUAAUUAAAAUGUCCGGUGCAUUAACUAGUAUCCGAGUUACCAGGUUUAAGUUUUUAAAGGGUUUUAAAUUUUAAUUAACUAAUAUUUCUUAAAACCCAAACUUAUUACCGGUUUGCCGGUCCGACAUAAAAACAGUGAAUCUCUUAUAUAUUAAUUGAAAAACAUUACAACAUUGUUUUGUAGUCACGUGUCACCAUGAGAAUAAAAUUCAGAAUUCUUAGAUAAAUAAAUUGGUAUAUCUCAACUUAUAUUAUACGUUUUAUUAAAUUAACUAUUAAAUUGAUAAAUACUGUAAAAAGAAUAUUCUCGCACUUUCUUUAAAUAAAAGAUACGGAACUAUCUAAUAUGAUUAACGUAUUUACGACAAUCAAUGAUUAUGAAUAAUAAAUAUUUGAUAAUAAUUUUUGUAUCUCAGCUCUUUUUGUUUAAUUUUAUAUUAUUAAAAGAUAUUAAACAACCACAUUAAUCAUAUAAUAUUUUUUUUCUUAUAUGUUAUAUUUUGAAUUUUUAAAACGACUAUAAGUUACAAAAAACGUUAAAUGUCUCACACUAAAAUUUUGUUAUCAAUGGUUUAACUUUUUAUUUUGUAAUAACAAGAUAAAAAUGAUCAUAAAUCGUAUGAAUAUGAAGUUUUAUUUACUAGACAUUCAUAUUAUAUGUAAUAUAGUUUAAAAUUAAACUAUAUAACAUAGAAAAAUACUUAAAUAUGAUAGUUUCUAAAUUUGUAUUGCAAAAGUAUUGAAACAUUGAUAUUUCAAUUUUGAAAUUUGCAUUCAAAAAAUUGCAAAUUGGAAAUUUUGUGUCUAUCAUAUGAGUAUAAAUUCUAAAUAAUAAAUAUUUAUAUUAUUGAAAUUUAGUUAUAUACCAUAUAAAAUAAAUAAAAUAAUUAUUUUGAUUUAUUUACCAAAAAAAUAUCGUUAAUAAACAAGAUGUAUUGUUUUGAUUUAUAUUUUUACUCUAAUUUAAUUAUAUACAUAAUACGUAAACAGAUACAAAUAAAUAAUAAUAGAUAAAAAUUUGUUUUAUAUAUAACAUUCAUCCCGCGCAAUUGUGCGGGUCUUAGUAUAUGAUAUUUGACAUGCUCUCAAUAAAAAUAUUCUUACUUCUUUAUUAUUAUAUACUAGGUUCUUUUUCCGCGCUACGCGCGGUUUUCGAAUUUUAAUGUAUUUUUUUUCAAUUUAUCAUUUACUAUGUUUUCAAAAUUUUGAGUUUUAUUUUAUUUAUUGAAACUGUUUCUAGAACUAUAAUUUGGACAAUUCUCUCAAAUAUAAAUUUUAAAGUUUCUGUCACAAAAAUAGCAUUCAAACAAAAAAUGACUAAAAUAGCCUCUUUUAUUUUGAAUUUUUUUAAAUUUAUUUUUUAUCUUUUAAAUUUUAAAACUAUAUCCCCAAAAUUCCACCCUUUAACUCUAAACCCUAAGUCUAGAUUAGUUAAUCCUAGGGUAAAAAUGUAUUUUUACUUUUUAAUAAAAUUUAUUUUGGUCAUUUUCUUUAUUGAGGGCUAUUUUUAUAAAAUAAACUAAAAGGAGAGUUUACAAAAGAAAAAAACUAAAAAGGGAUAUCGUAAGAAAUUUUUCUUAUAAUUUUUAAAGAAUUUUUAAACUAUUUGAAAUAAUUUUGUUGUGUUUUGUUAUUGAAACUAUAUAUAUGGUAGUAGUAAGAUAAAUUAAAAAAAUAUUAAAUAUUAGUUUUGACCUAGAUAUUCUUUUAUUUUGCUUGUUUAGUUUCUAUGUAAAAAAAUAAUAUAUAACUUUAUGUAAAACAAUAAUUAAAUUUAUGAUAUAUAACUUUUUUUGGUUUUACAAUCAUUAAGUUCCCAUUAUUUUGAUUUCAUCUUUAAAUUUAUCGUUUUAUAAUCAGUUUUGUUUUCUGUUUAAUUUUUGUUUCUUUUUAACCUUUGUUUUAUUUUGUCAUGUGAUGGAGAGACAUUUUAUUUCAUGAAGUACUUUAGUUGUAGAGGUCUAUUUUCUUACAGUUGAUUUGAUGUUAAAUUCAUUUUUUUUUUAUAAUCUAAGUAAUCAGAUUUUACUUAUAAAAAAUAAUUAUAUAUAUUAAUACAUUUUUUAUAGUCUCUAUGGUUUCUUUUAUUUUUGUUAGAUAGCUUAUGUGCUUGGCCAUCAUUUCCGGAAAAUCAAGUCUACUUACUCAAACAUGCUACUAAAUGACCUGAAGAAAAGCAUAGUGAUAGAGAUAUAAGAUAAUCAACACCAAGAUAUAAGAUAAUUAACACCGUCGCCAAACUAUAAUCCACUUGAACUUUUAUUACAUCUACAAAUUAUUUUUAGAAAGGUGAAAUCAAAAUUACCUCGAGGGCUUGCAUGUCAGAGGUCUCAAGUUCCAUGAAUUUAUUUAGCUAUUGUGUUUAUUUUCUAACAUAAUUUUUUAAUUUGAAGAACAUAUAACUUUAAUCUCAUGAAACCCAUUUCAUAAAUGUUUUGUAUGAUUUCGAGAAUAAUUCAUGGAACAAAAAUAAUUUACAAAAUUUGAGAAUUCUAACCGCUACGGUCUCUCCAACCUUACAAACUGAGUUGAAAAACCACAAACUUUAUUAUAAUUAUUCCCACACCUGUCUCAGCUUUUCUUUUUUUUUUAUUCCAAGAGCUUUGCCUAUGAUGCUCUGAUAGAAUUUUGUAUACGGAGCAG
This 3332-nucleotide long non-coding RNA is filed under the name Brassica rapa (field mustard). RNAcentral's name for it is "long non-coding RNA (BRAP_LNC003992)". Lineage: Eukaryota; Viridiplantae; Streptophyta; Magnoliopsida; Brassicales; Brassicaceae. The record is from RNAcentral.